UGGUUCAUGACUGGGGUGAAGUCGUAACAAGGUAGCGCUAGGGGAACCUGGCGCUGGAUCACCUCCUUA
This 69-nucleotide ribosomal RNA is filed under the name Vibrio alginolyticus. RNAcentral's name for it is "partial 16S ribosomal RNA". It matches the Rfam family "Bacterial small subunit ribosomal RNA", at positions 1465 to 1533 of the family's 1533-position model. Lineage: Bacteria; Pseudomonadati; Pseudomonadota; Gammaproteobacteria; Vibrionales; Vibrionaceae. The record is from RNAcentral. RNAcentral also lists the same sequence under 4 other names.